CCUACGUGUGGCAGCAGUGAGGAAUAUUGGUCAAUGGACGAGAGUCUGAACCAGCCAAGUAGCGUGAAGGAUGACUGCCCUAUGGGUUGUAAAAUUCUUUUAUAAAGGAAUAAAACGAGGCACGUGUGCCUUUUUGCAUGUACUUUAUGAAUAAGGAUCGGCUAACUCCGUGCCAGCAGCCGCGGUAAUACGGAGGAUCCUAGCGUUAUCCGGAUUGAUUGGGUUUAAAGGGAGCGUAGAUGGGUUGUUAAGUCAGUUGUGAAAGUUUGCGGCUCAACCGUAAAAUUGCAAUUGAUACUGGCAGUCUUGAGUACAGUUGAGGUAGGCGGAAUUCGGGGUGUAGCGGUGAAAUGCUUAGAUAUCACGAAGAACCCCGAUUGCGAAGGCAGCUUACUAAACUGUGACUGACAUUGAUGCUCGAAAGUGUGGGUAUCAAACAGGAUUAGAUACCCCUGUAGUC
Molecule: ribosomal RNA, 460 nt
Filed under: uncultured bacterium
Lineage: Bacteria
Description: partial 16S ribosomal RNA
Rfam family: Bacterial small subunit ribosomal RNA
Source: RNAcentral